GCCCCGCGCCGGGACCCCGUCCGCCCCGCGCCGCCGCGCCGCUCUCGCCGCUCUCGCCGCCCGCUCAGGUCCUGCCCUCGCUCCCCCUCCCCGAGACCCCAGAGCGGGGCGCGGCGGGAGAGCGAAGGGAGCGGGGCGCUGGAGCCGCGGCGGGCGGCUGCGCGGGAGCCGGGCUCGCGCCUCCCGCCCCGCGGUCCUCCGCCGGCCCGGCUCGCGGCACACGCCCGGGCUCCGAGGGGCUGGCUGGCAGGCCGGCCGCCCGCUCCCUCGCGCUCCCUCCGGCGCGCACUGGCCACGCCCCCGGCCCGCCGCGGCCAAUCGGCGGCCGGCUCCGGCGCGUCUCCCUCCGCGCCCUCCAAUCGGCGCGCUCCGUCCGCGGGCGGCCCGUUAGCUCCCCGGCCCUCUCCCGGGGCUGGGCCGCCCCCCGUCGCUCGGCUCCAAUCGCCUGCAGCCCACGGAGGCGUCGCCCCGCCCCCGCCCGGGCCCCGCCCCCGGCCCCGCCCCCGGCCCCGGCCCCGCCCCCCCCCGGCCCGGCGCGCGCGCCGCUCAUUGUUGGGCCCGCAGCCCGAGCCGCUCCGGCCGCCGCGGCCGCCCGCCCUCGCCGGGCCUUCCGGGCUGCCCCGCCCGCCUCGCUCCUCCCCGCCGCGCAUCAGGCCACCGCGAGGGGUGGGCGCCCAGGCUCCUGGAGGCUCGUCGCUGGGGCCUGCGUCUGAGAAACCUUUUACAGAAAAAAAAAAAAAAAAAAAAAAAAAAAGCAGAGCGUGUGUGGCGUUUGUUUUUUUUUGUUUGUUUUUAAAUGAAAACUACAGCCGAUUGCUGCAGCAACUCCGAGUUAAAUUUUUAAAAAAAUACAGGGUUCAAUUCAAAAAAAUAUGUAUUUCUUUUUUCCUAUGCCUUCCACUAUUUUACUCUACUGGGAGCAGGACAAAAAAAACAAAACCACAUAUAGCACGAUCCAUGCCCCCACAGCAGUUUAAACCUAACAUCCCAGCAUUCGUUCAGCCAUUCUUCCAAGAGGUGUUGAGCACCUGCUAUGCGCUUGCAAGCCCUAUGCUGACACUUGUGGGAUUAACAGCCCUAAUACAGAAAUCCUCCAGGUCUAGUGUUGGUAGAGAGGGAAAUACAUCGUGA
RNAcentral lists this long non-coding RNA (1131 nucleotides) under Canis lupus familiaris (dog). RNAcentral describes it as "lncRNA (ENSCAFG00040022630.1)". The record is from RNAcentral. Lineage: Eukaryota; Metazoa; Chordata; Mammalia; Carnivora; Canidae.